CCAUCCCACGCAAGUAACAACAUUUCCGACGGCACGUGAAUGAGGCAGCGGGCUGCUCCGCUUGCAACCAGAGGAACGGACAGCGCUGCGCACGAGGCAGGUACCAUCCUCCACGGGGAAGGCAAAAAAAAGCAGAGGAGAGCGGGGUGCCACACAUGUGACCGCGGAGCUGUGAGUGACACCAGCUCCUCCACAUCAGAUUUUUCUGGAUGUUCUUUUCUGGGGGGGUGGACUCCUUUUGCUGCAAAGAAACUGAAACCUGCCGACAUUUUUGUGGUUGUUUAUAAUAGCAGCAGAGAAGACCAUGAGGAUCACAGCCUUCUUCAAGAGCAAAGGUCUCUUGCUGCUGUGAUGUUUUUAGGAGAGGGGCUCCUCCUGGUUGUUUCCAGUUCCCCAUCUCAGCCCUGAUGCUCACUUCAGGUCAGCCCCUCGGGAUCUGGAACCUCAAAGAGAAACCAUCAAGAAACACUAUGUCUGAGACGGAGCAUGUGGCUGAGGUUGGAUCCCCUCAGAGGCUCGGUGUUCUCUUUUUAAUGAAGCAAAGCUGAUAAGAAGGACAAUUGUUCUUUUUUUUUUUCCCUUUAAAGAGACAUUCAUGAACCAUAAGUGGAAAUUAAGUGGGAAGGGGACUGAAAUACUCUGAGCAGGUAUUUCCCUUCAUUCCCUGUUAAAAAGGUGGGAUAUUUAGCUGUGGGAUAGUCCGAGUGAGUACUCAGUUACUUAUGGAAAGAUGGAGGCAGGAGCAGAGGCUAGCCCACAACAGCACCAGAGGAGGAAGCCUGUGCUGCAUGGAUUGGAGGACCAGAAAAGGUGAGUUCUCAGCAGUGACACUUCUAGUUCAUUAGAAGCCAGCUGCAUACAUGACGGCAUCAUCAAUUGGAAAACAGAGCAGGCCAGACGCUUGGCCGUCCCUAAGGAGAAAGGUUACGCUACACUGGGCCAAUAUUCACCUUCCCUCUUAAUGGACAUCAAGCAACUUACAUAAAUUGAAAGCACUGAUGUAGUAACGUUGACACACGGCUAUCCAUUGUCAGAGAAUUACCUCAGGCUUUCAUGCAGAGAUUCAAUGUCCCCUAGCAAUUACCUAGGCUAUGUGAGUUCAAGAUCCUAUAUGUGAUACUCUUCCCAGCAGGAGGUAAUUGGAUUUUGUUCUCUUUGUAGAUGUACUAUGUCACAUGUCCCCUGCUUCAUAUAUUAAUGUUCACUGAGUAGCAAUCAUGGACGUACAAAGGGGAAGUACUGGAGAAUCAUGGAUGUAUUUUAUUGUAUUGCAAUGUUUUAUUAAAGAGAAAUACUGUUUUUUUUUGUUACUAUCAGAAACCUGUCCUUAUGUAGCCACUUGCUAUUCACUGAACAUGAACUCCUUGAGGUUAGAGCUUUAGUUUUAGGAAUUGUCCAACUGCAAGAAAGGAUUGCAAAUGUACUGUUACUUUGCAGCAUUUUUGCAGAAGCCAUUUGGUUAAUUAGUUCUUACAAAGUUUUACUGGAUGGAAAUUGAUUUUUCCUUUUCUGGCAUACCACUGAAGGAUAUUGAAGAACAGGAAGUCAGUGCUGUACCACUGUUGUUUCAUCCUUAACGCUUUAACAACAUUGAAGAAUCUACAAGUGGAAGUGGAAGGUUCAACACUGCCAUAAAAUUAAGUCACAUUAAAAGUUUUAUCUGAUGAUCCUUGGACAGACGACGACCUCUCCAUUAGGUCUCAGCUAAAACUGUAAUUAACAUAACAUCUUAUGGGAGUCAAAAGCUGCCUCUAACACAGACACGGGUAAUUUUAUAACCAUGAGAAUGUAAUGUGUAGGGCUGGGCCAUAUCAUACCGUUCACGGUAAUACCGGUGUAAUUUUGGGCAACG
Molecule: long non-coding RNA, 1852 nt
Organism: Oreochromis niloticus (Nile tilapia)
Lineage: Eukaryota; Metazoa; Chordata; Actinopteri; Cichliformes; Cichlidae
Exons: 3
Source: RefSeq, a predicted model, not a curated record